This 468-nucleotide ribosomal RNA is filed under the name uncultured bacterium. RNAcentral's name for it is "partial 16S ribosomal RNA". It matches the Rfam family "Bacterial small subunit ribosomal RNA", at positions 28 to 507 of the family's 1533-position model. The record is from RNAcentral.
GACGAACGCUGGCGGCGUGCUUAACACAUGCAAGUCGAACGGAAAGGCCCUGCUUUUGUGGGGUUCCCGAGUGGCGAACGGGUGCGUAACACGUGAGUAACCUGCUCUUGACUUUGGGAUAACUUCAGGAAACUGGGGCUACUACCGUAUAGGAGCCCCUGCUGCGUGGUGGGGGUGGGAACGUUGCGGCGGUUGGGGAUGGAUUCGCGGCUUAUCAGCUUGUUGGUGGGGUAGUGGCUUACCAAGGGUUUGACGGGUAGCCGGCCUGGGAGGGUGACCGGCCACAUUGGGACUGAGAUACGCCCCAGACGCGAACGGGAGGCAGCAGUGGGGAAUAUGGCACAAUGGGCGGAAGCCUGAUGCAGAAACGCCGGGUGCGGGAUGACGGCCUUCGGGUUGUAAACCGCUUUCGCCUGUGACGAAGCGUGAGUGACGGUAAUGGGUAAAGAAGCACCGGCUAACUACGUG